UUGUCCUACGGGGGGCAGCAGUGGGGAAUAUUGCGCAAUGGGCGAAAGCCUGACGCAGCGACGCCGCGUGAGGGAUGAAGGUCUUCGGAUCGUAAACCUCUGUCAGCAGGGAAGAACGGUCACUGUGCUAAUCAGCAGUGAAUUGACGGUACCUGCAAAGGAAGCACCGGCUAACUCCGUGCCAGCAGCCGCGGUAAUACGGAGGAUGCGAGCGUUAUCCGGAUUUAUUGGGUUUAAAGGGGGCGCAGGCGGCACGGCAAGCCGGCGGUCAAAUCGCGGGGCUCAACCCCGGC
This 293-nucleotide ribosomal RNA is filed under the name uncultured bacterium. RNAcentral's name for it is "partial 16S ribosomal RNA". It matches the Rfam family "Bacterial small subunit ribosomal RNA", at positions 334 to 619 of the family's 1533-position model. The record is from RNAcentral.